UCUUUUAAAGUAAUUAUUUACUUUUAAUUUCGACUUAAAAAUUGAUUAUUUUAAAUAAUCUAAAAGAU
Molecule: transfer RNA, 68 nt
Filed under: Lepisiota frauenfeldi
Lineage: Eukaryota; Metazoa; Arthropoda; Insecta; Hymenoptera; Formicidae
Description: tRNA-Arg
Source: RNAcentral